GAAGCCGGGCGGCGGUAGAUCCGCCAACCCCGCCAGGUUCGAAAGAAAGCAACGGUAACGGUUGAUACCGGGUGCCCGGCCCCCAA
RNAcentral lists this signal recognition particle RNA (86 nucleotides) under Lawsonia intracellularis. RNAcentral's name for it is "signal recognition particle sRNA small type". It matches the Rfam family "Bacterial small signal recognition particle RNA". From Rfam's summary of the family: The signal recognition particle (SRP) is a universally conserved ribonucleoprotein involved in the co-translational targeting of proteins to membranes. Archaeal SRP consists of a 7S RNA and homologues of the eukaryotic SRP19 and SRP54 proteins. In most bacteria, the SRP consists of a 4.5S RNA and the Ffh protein (a homologue of the eukaryotic SRP54 protein). Lineage: Bacteria; Pseudomonadati; Thermodesulfobacteriota; Desulfovibrionia; Desulfovibrionales; Desulfovibrionaceae. The record is from RNAcentral. RNAcentral also lists the same sequence under 1 other name.